Non-coding RNA from Peromyscus maniculatus bairdii (prairie deer mouse), 3083 nucleotides. Lineage: Eukaryota; Metazoa; Chordata; Mammalia; Rodentia; Cricetidae. The record is from RefSeq and is a predicted model, not a curated record.
UCUUGGAAGGGGCACACUGACACGCGCGCACACACACGCCCCCGACGCGCACGCGCCCCCGCGCGUACUCACACUCACCCCCGCGCACACUCACGCCGCCGCCGCGCUGAUGUGCAGCGCACCGGGCUGCACCUGCAGCCAGUGGAUUGGACUGGAGGGUCGCAGCGCGUGGCUCCUGCCGCGAGCACUGCUGCCUAGCCUCCGCGCUAGAAGGGAUUAACCCCCUCAGAAAGAUCAAAGGCAGCCCUACCCCCUCCCCAAAAAUAUCCUUUUGUUUAAAAAAAAAAAAAAAAAAAGCCCUAUCCAAAAUACCAAGUGCCCGGUGCUACUGGGUCGGAAAGCUGUACCCAACACCAGAGCAGAAGAAAAUGCAUUUGGAAGCCAGCACCGCUGGAUGCCGGGUUCGGAGAGGCAGCCUGACCCGAGGAGCGCUUCUCCAUAGAGCCAAGCCCCGAGAUUUCCUAGAGUAUUUGUCUCCUCCCAAGUGGAUCUUCACUCUCAAAACGGUUGGCAUCAUCCCCCAAGGAGACACCAUCUCUUUUUCAAACCCUCCUUAGUAAGUCAACCCAUCUCAAGAGUAGCUUUCAUUGAUAAUGAUAUCUGCUCACUUCUGGAAAUCUUACCAUAAGACACCAUUCAGUCUCAAUGGACAGCCAGAACUCAUGUGAAGCUCUAUUACAGGAAAUAUAAACAAAGCAGCUUCCGGAUCUCCUGCUUGAGUCUCGGGGAAAGAGGGGCUAUGGGGAGACUGACAGGCCGUGAACAAGCCUGGCGUGUGAGGAGGACAUCACCUGGUGCUCUGGAAGAAUUCUGAGGUUUCCAUCUGAAAUGGUGGGAGACUAUAUGCCCAGUCCAUGCACGUUAACCCAGACCCAGUGCUGGGAGAGGUAAGUGACGGAAACUCCACACGAGUGGCUGAAACCUGAACACCUCCAGUGCUGUCCAGAUGAAUAAGUGAAGGACUUGUUAGAGGCCUGAAGAAGGAGGUCAGUAAAUAUUUAAAGAAGGCUUGCUUUCCUGUGAUGCUGUGGCUGCUGCAGUAUGGUGACCCUACUUGAACUUCUCCACAGGAUCCCGCAGGAUUUGGUUCUGAUUCUCCCAGGACGGGAUGGUCUUCCGAAUCUUAUUCCAAUGUGGUUCCCCUCGGUCUCACUUGCAUUUUUCAAUUUUGUUUCUAGACUGUUUUUGUUUUGUUUUAAUAUUAUCAAAAUUGUGCAAGUGAAGAGUUUAAAGGAAUGGAAACCGUUGGGCAUAAGUCCCCCUAACCUCCCCACCACCUCCAUUUUUACUUGAGAAAGGCUGCUUGCAACUCUAUCAGAAUUUCUGGUAGACUCCCCCACAGUGAAAAAUGACACACCCUGUUACCACCUAACUUCUUAGGUCAUUUCUUUAUCUGCUGACAUCUACAAAAAGAGGGGUCUGCUUCCUGUCUCAGACCAAGCCUCCAAUGUGUUUGAUAAGCACAUCUCCCCAUCUUGAUGCCCUCUAAUACACGAUAUCAUAAUCAUAACCAAUAUGCAUAGUUUCCAACUUUUUCACAAGCAUCCUUUAUCAUGUAUUUUAUUUGGUUAUCUUGUCCCCUUAGUCCAUUUUCAUCGAGAAUACUUCCUCUCUGGUUUACUCUUGGUGUGGCAUUAACUUUUGUUUUGCUUUGCUUUAUUGAGACAGUCUCAAUAUAUAAUUCAGACUGGCCUUGAAUCUGCAACCCUUCUGCCUGCAUCUCCAAAGUGCUGGGAUCACAGGCAUACGACAGAACACCUGGCGACAUUGGCAUUGGUUACCUUCCUUAUUGCUGUCAUCAACAUGACGAGAAGUAACUUAAGGAAGGAUUUGUUCUGGCGCACAGGUGGGUGGUGGUACUGUCGUCCAUCAUGGCGGGAGUCAUGGCGGCAAGAGCGUGAGGUGUCCACAAUCAGGAAGCAGAGACCCACGGACACAGAUGCUCAACUCCUUUCUCCUUUUAUUCAGUAUAGGACCCCCAGCCCAUAGAAUGGUGCCACCUGCAUUUAAGGUGGGUCUUCUCACCUCAAUUAGCCCAAUCUGGAAGCUCCCUCCCAGACAUACUGAGAGGUUUGUUUCCAUGGUGAUUUUAAAUGCCACCAAGUUGGCAAGAUUAAUCAUCACAGCCAACAUUAUGGGGUAUGGCAGACCUGCCUGAUUUCUUUUCCUCGUGAAUAGAUUAAGGAUAAUAUUUUCUGGCAAGGCGAUAUUGCCAACGUCCCUGGUGCAUCAUCUCAGGUGCCGCACAAAGCUAGUCCCAUGACGAAUGAGGCCAAUUUCAAUCAGUGAUUUGGAGGUGACUGCCAGGUGUCAGCACUGUAAAGACUCUUCUUCUUUUCACUAACAAGUCAUCUACCGGGUGACAAUUUGAGGCCACGUUCUAUGUUCCUGGUUGCCUGAUAACUUGAGCAAAGAGAUGACUGAGAUACGAAGCUUCAGACUGUAUGUCUGGUAUUAGAGCAGCGGUUGUGAGCAAUGCUGAAAGUUUUAUACACACAAGUGAAAAGAUCUACAAGCAAUGACAUUCCAGUGACAAUAGGCACAUCGACUGCCUAGAUCCUCGUUUCUAAGAACAGUUCUGGUGAAAACAGACAAAAAAACAAGGGAUGCUUGGGGGUGUGACAAAUUCCAGAGCACUAGUAAGCUAAAAACAGAUUGCCUUUUUUGACUCAGGGACAUUCUCUUAAACCAAGAACAAUGUGCCAAAGUGACAGAGGAACCCACAGAGACAGUUAGGGAGACAGGGGAGGGGAAACUGGUCAGUAUGUAAAAUAAAUGAAAAAAUGUUAAUUAAAUAAAAAUUUUAAUGUGCCAAAGGAGGGCGAAGACUGGGAUUAGUGGGUCUCAUAGGUCAGUUUGACACUAUUAUAGUAUUUACAAACAUGACCACUAAGAUUGAAAAUGAAUCUAUCAGUCCACAUGGAAACUUCCAAGGGUGAACAAAGGGGAGAAGACUUGUUCAACACAAAUGUUCCAUUUACUGUCUGAUGGAGGAAUGGAAGAAUUAGAAAAGGACCAUUUUACAACUCCUCAUGUAAUGGCUGACUGUCAUUAAGUACUAAUAAAUGGUGUUUGAUGAUGAA